ACGGAGGAUGCAAGCGUUAUCCGGAUUUAUUGGGUUUAAAGGGUCCGCAGGCGGAUUAUUAAGUCAGUGGUGAAAGCCUGCAGCUUAACUGUAGAACUGCCAUUGAUACUGAUAGUCUUGAGUGUGGUUGAAGUGGGCGGAAUAUGACAUGUAGCGGUGAAAUGCAUAGAGAUGUCAUAGAACACCAAUUGCGAAGGCAGCUCACUAAACCAUUACUGACGCUCAGGGACGAAAGCGUGGGGAGCAAACAGG
RNAcentral lists this ribosomal RNA (252 nucleotides) under uncultured bacterium. Its description in RNAcentral is "partial 16S ribosomal RNA". It matches the Rfam family "Bacterial small subunit ribosomal RNA", at positions 525 to 776 of the family's 1533-position model. The record is from RNAcentral.